Molecule: long non-coding RNA, 505 nt
Filed under: Pan troglodytes (chimpanzee)
Lineage: Eukaryota; Metazoa; Chordata; Mammalia; Primates; Hominidae
Description: long non-coding RNA NONPTRT012574
Source: RNAcentral
GGAGGAGGAAGUCGAUGAUUGCUAAGCGUCGCCGAGUUGGGAGCGUCUUCAGCCCUAAGGCAGCAUCAGAGAUCAUAAUCUUCUGCUCUCGUGGCAAGAAAUUUGUGCGGAUAGAGUUGAUACACCUCACUUGAAGUUGGCCUGGAGAAAAGAGGCGUGGGACUCCUGGACGGGGUUGGGAAACGGUCACCAGUUUCGGCUCAAAGCAGCCUGUUUCCAGGAGACCGCCAUGGUCGAGGCAGCGUCCUGGUCCCACGGUGCGGGGCCGGACGAUCAUUUAUGGGAUAUAAAUAAAAGGACUAUGAGGUGGUAAAUAAAAGACUACCAACUAGAAGCCAUAGGGAGUCAUUUGAAGGAGAAAUAGGCACGGCUCAUCUGUGGUUGAGGGAAAGGGAUCUUGAAAGAUGAUUAGGAGAACUUGGGUUCUGGGGAAAGUGCGGGAAGACAUUCUGGCAGAGAAGCAAACGUGAAGAAAGGAAAGGGUGGCAACUAAAGAUUCCCGAGA